GCAGCCCCGCCCCCGAGUGCGCUGGGGCGGGUGGAGGAGGAGCUCAGCGCCCCCGCGGCGUUCCCGUCUGACGGCGCUCCCUCGUGUGCUCACUCAGCACGUUUCCUACGCUCCUGAAAGGCAGAGGUUGAAAUUACGGGAAAUAUGGAGUGAGCACCAUGAGCACCUUGAGGGAGCACCUCGACUGGCCAGGCUUCGCAUUUUUAAAAAAUAUUCUCCUCUGACCUGUGAAACAGGAGCUAAUCCCCAUUUUACAGGAGUAAAUAACUCCGUGGAGCUGAGAUUCUACUUCACUCUACUGCACAGCUUGGCCCCUCCUCGCACAGUCAAUGAUGGGGCAGCCGAGGCAGAGACAGAAACGGAUUCCAACAUCCUAGAGUCUGUGAUGGCCAAGCUCCCUCCUUCCUCCAGCUCCAGGCCUGGCUGGGCCAGGCUCUCCUCUGCCCUCUGCUCACCUUCUCAGUCCUGCGGGCCAAGAUGACCAGGCCUCGGAUGCACAGCACCUUCAUGAUGGGUUCCUGGUGGUUCAGGCCUUCUGCCAUCCGCCCCAGAGAGUACUCCUCUGGGAUCCGCCGCACCUGCUCCAUCUGAAGGAGCUGAGGGAAUAGCGGUAAUUACUCCCUGAGCCGAGGGACAGGGCAACCCCCCACACACACACCCCCUCCCCAGUCUCCCCAGGCACUAGGAGUACGUGCUGGAUGGCCAGGGGCUGAGUGUGGGACCUGAAUGAUGGCUAUCUGGUUAGUGCCGUCCAAGGCAAGCCACAGGCCUAAGUUUAAGUUUCCUAGGAGCCACAUUAAAAAAGAAAAAAAAAAAAAAGGUGAAAUUAAUGUCAGUAAUUGUCAGUAAUGCAUCUUAUUCGACCCCAUAUAUCCAAAGUAUUAUCAUUUUGCUAUGUAAUCAAAUUAAAAAUUAUUGAUAUAUUUUAUUUACACUCUAUAAAAAUUUUUUUUGAACCAAGUCUGAAACGUGGUGUGAAUUUUAAACUUACAACACAUUUCAGUUCAG
Molecule: long non-coding RNA, 1008 nt
Organism: Canis lupus familiaris (dog)
Lineage: Eukaryota; Metazoa; Chordata; Mammalia; Carnivora; Canidae
Exons: 3
Source: RefSeq, a predicted model, not a curated record